This 473-nucleotide ribosomal RNA is filed under the name uncultured Desulfobulbus sp. RNAcentral's name for it is "bacterial SSU rRNA". It matches the Rfam family "Bacterial small subunit ribosomal RNA", at positions 917 to 1381 of the family's 1533-position model. Lineage: Bacteria; Pseudomonadati; Thermodesulfobacteriota; Desulfobulbia; Desulfobulbales; Desulfobulbaceae. The record is from RNAcentral.
GACGGGGCCGCACAAGCGGUGGAGUAUGUGGUUUAAUUCGAUGCAACGCGAAGAACUUACCUGGUCUUGACAUCCCGGAGACCCUUAGGAAACUAGGGGGUGCUUCCAUCUGGAAGAAUCUGGAGACAGGUGCUGCAUGGCUGUCGUCAGCUCGUGUCGUGAGAUGUUGGGUUAAGUCCCGCAACGAGCGCAACCCUUGCCUUUAGUUGCCAGCAGUUCGGCUGGGCACUCUAAAGGGACUGCCGGUGUUAAACCGGAGGAAGGUGGGGAUGACGUCAAGUCCUCAUGGCCUUUAUGACCAGGGCUACACACGUACUACAAUGGCCGAUACAAAGGGCAGCGACACUGCGAGGUGAAGCCAAUCCCGUAAAAUCGGUCUCAGUCCGGAUUGGAGUCUGCAACUCGACUCCAUGAAGUUGGAAUCGCUAGUAAUCGUGGAUCAGCAUGCCACGGUGAAUACGUUCCCGGGCCUU